CCUACGGGAGGCAGCAGUGGGGAAUAUUGGUCAAUGGGCGGGAGCCUGAACCAGCCAUUCCGCGUGCAGGAUGACGGCCCUAUGGGUUGUAAACUGCUUUUCUACGUGAAGAAACGCUCCAACGUGUUGGGGAUUGACGGUAGUGUAGGAAUAAGCAUCGGCUAACUCCGUGCCAGCAGCCGCGGUAAU
Molecule: ribosomal RNA, 189 nt
Filed under: uncultured bacterium
Lineage: Bacteria
Description: partial 16S ribosomal RNA
Rfam family: Bacterial small subunit ribosomal RNA
Source: RNAcentral